This 424-nucleotide ribosomal RNA is filed under the name uncultured bacterium. RNAcentral describes it as "bacterial SSU rRNA". It matches the Rfam family "Bacterial small subunit ribosomal RNA", at positions 506 to 930 of the family's 1533-position model. The record is from RNAcentral.
GGCCAGCAGCCGCGGUAAUACGUAGGUGGCAAGCGUUGUCCGGAAUUACUGGGUGUAAAGGGAGUGUAGGCGGGGCUUCAAGUCCGUUGUGAAACCGAUCGGCUCAACUGAUCGUUGCGGCGGAAACUGGAGUUCUUGAGUGAGGUAGAGGCAGGCGGAAUUCCCAGUGUAGCGGUGAAAUGCGUAGAUAUUGGGAGGAACACCAGUGGCGAAGGCGGCCUGCUGGGCCUUAACUGACGCUGAGGCUCGAAAGUGUGGGGAGCAAACAGGAUUAGAUACCCUGGUAGUCCACACUGUAAACGAUGAUUACUAGGUGUGGGGGGACUGACCCCUUCCGUGCCGGAGUGAACACAAUAAGUAAUCCACCUGGGGAGUACGACCGCAAGGUUGAAACUCAAAGGAAUUGACGGGGGCCCGCACAAGG